CUACGUGUUACAGAAAGUGCUCCAUGGAAUCCAGUUGUGGUUCUCGUUAAGCAACACAUGUGUCGUUCAUGCACCAGAAUCCUCGAGAAGAAAGGAGGGCAUUAGGAUCUGGGCACCACCCCUCAUCUAACCAUGCCUUCCCGUAUGGGCUCUUCUUGCGUCAGGAUUAAUCUCGAGGUGGGGAGGUUUGUGGGCAGCAGGACAGCACCGGCAAGAAAGGGACUGAGACUUGACACUGGGCAUGCUCGCCAGGGUGGGGCAGGCCCAGCUCAUGAAAGAGGUUCAAGGAAGGCGCACGGGCCAGAGUUCCUUUCCCUGUUCCACACGCCUGAUCAGCAUAUUAGUUGGCAUCCGGUGCUCCAAGUGGAGAGACGUCAUCAGCUGCACCUAGGAACCUGGACCUGUUUCCCUGCCCUUUGCUGUCCUGAGGAACUUAAUGAGCUUUCCGAGGUGGGGCCUCCUGCGCUGUUGAUGCUGACCCGGUUAUGAUGUCAGGAAGAAAAUCAAGCCAAAUGCAGGUGCCCGAGUCAUAAACUCCUGCUUCGGAUGGCUCGUUAGGGCGACAAAGGGACUGCGAUUGAUUUUGAAAUCCUCAAGAUCUGAUCAAGUCUCUCUCAAAGCCACCCCUGGACCCCUGGACCCCUGGCUUCAGAAGCAGGUGCUUAUGAAAAAGAAGCUGAGAUCGGACCCUUAGUUUUUUGCUGGGGUGGUUUAAGACGAGUUUUCCAUCUCCCACGGCCCGAGGCUGAGUGAGCUCGCCCUCCAUCGUCUCUCCGCCUCCCGGGCCCUUCACCAGGGAUUGAAACCCCACCCCUGGGGAAAAGCUUGUAAACUGAAAAACAUACAUACCAUUAGCUAUAAUUAACGCUGUGUUGAGGAAACAGAGCGCGGGUCUUCAUCCCUUGGAAUGAGUUGCUAAAUGGCUCUAAACUUCAGUUCUACCAUUUGUUAAACAGAAAUGAUAACGUUGUUUUGUGAUAUAGCACAAG
Molecule: long non-coding RNA, 989 nt
Filed under: Sus scrofa (pig)
Lineage: Eukaryota; Metazoa; Chordata; Mammalia; Artiodactyla; Suidae
Description: lncRNA (ENSSSCG00060003712.1)
Source: RNAcentral